RNAcentral lists this long non-coding RNA (313 nucleotides) under Capsicum annuum. Its description in RNAcentral is "long non-coding RNA (CANN_LNC016163)". The record is from RNAcentral. Lineage: Eukaryota; Viridiplantae; Streptophyta; Magnoliopsida; Solanales; Solanaceae.
UUGGAGAUGCCACUGACGGAGGGACUAUUGGCUGGAGGAACGGGAGGGACUGUUGGUAGGUGAGGGAGGUGCCAGAGGCGGUCGACGAGAGGAGAUUCAUCGGUCAGUGGUGGAGCGGAGGCUGGUUCGUCCGGUGGCAAAGGCUGGUGGCGCUGAAGACGAAGAGCCCGCCGGUAAUCAUAUCCGGCGAGGCUUGUCGACGGGAGAGGAGGAUGGAGGCAGCGAAGCAGCGGCUGGUCAUGACUCGCCGGUGAUAGAGAAGGGCGGCGGCAGGAGAGUUAUUUAGAGAGAAGAAAGAAGGUAGAGAGAGGGG